GCAGUCACCGCCGCCGAGCCGUUGAAAUAGCUCGCCCACUGCGCCCGUGCGAUCCCGCUGCGACGUUACGCGACCUGUAAUCAGUUACCAGGCUCACAUCAACGCCGAAGAGAUUGACGACGUAGACGACGUAGAACUUAACUGGUACGGAACUGGUACUGGUACAAAGGGUAAUUAGCCAGCAUACCGAAAUUAAUAAGCCCGCAUCCAGCGUAAAUCGUUGCUGAUUGGCUGCAACUCUGAAGAGCUACGGAUGAAUUUAACUACAAGAGGAUUUUGCUGGCGAAAACAAACUGCAAAGCGAUUUAACACGAUAAUUUGUUGACAUAAAUCCAGAUAUUCGACAGGACUUUGCUAGUACCGGAAUUUCGCUUAAAUUAAGAAGCUAAAAUAAAUAUUAGUAGCGUUAGAUCAUAUUAGGCGUAUAAUUUUCAAUGUUUAUUACAUAAAUACAUUUAUUACAUAAAAGUUAUUCAUAGUUUUGAUAAUUUUAUAACCUUCCUCGAUAACUGAUAACUUUCUGUAAAAUAUGAAAGUGAAAUUACCAAAUAACUAAAAUAACUUCUGCAAGCUGAUGUAAUUUAAUCCAGUUUUAAAUGUAUUCCUCAUUAUUGGCACACCAGUUACAUUUUUUUUUGUUUUAAAACUUAAGCUUUUAACUUCUAAAAUAAGUUAGGGAUGAUGAAUGACAAAUUAUUGUAUAUUGACAAACUGCCAAACGUAAUUCCGGUACUGCAUUGUCCAAGUCUAAAAAUAAGUAGAUGCACAACAACACUGCACCAACUGCAAAAUCAUGUUCAAUCUACUGAAUAUUAGAUUUGCUCAAUCAUAAAAUAACUUUUGCAUGUUUUUAUUCUCAUUUUCAUUAUUAGUUUUAAAGAUAUAAUUAUGUGUUUAUUGUAAUACAUAUGUAUUUGCUUUACUUAUAAUACAAGACUAAUGUGAUUUCUGUGAUUUCGAUUUUCUGCUUCGUAAUUAGUGUUGUCACUAAUUGAAUUGUUGUCACUGAAUUAUUUACUUAUUACAAGAAACGAAGCAAUAAAUCGAAAUCAGAAACUGUUCAAAUACGAAUCGAAUGAUAAUAAAUAAAUAAAAGCACAAUAUUGGCACUGAGCCUACGCAGGUUUAUGCCUGAAACUGUAUGGUUCGAACCGUGAUAUUUUGAUGUGGUUUUAUAUUUUUAGAACAGGCAUUCAAUCGGGGCUUACAUACUAUCUGGGAUACACCCAGACUGCAAUUGGUAACAGAAUUUUUUUUUAAACCUCUUUAAGACAACGUUAAUACUACUAACAAAGUCUUAAAUCCUAUUUGGGAAGAACAAAACAUUUUAAAUUGAAGUCUGGGAGCACCCAAGAUCCAGAUUAUUACUUUUACUUUUUUAACAAAUCAUCCCACAUAACGCCAUUGUUUUGUUACAUGACAUACACUGUAGUAAAAUAUUAUUUACUUAUUAACCAAUUCAAGAUCUACAUUUAACUCAGUGCCAUUACUAGAAAGAAAUACGUUUGUGUAUAUACAGGGCAAAAUACGUAGUAGGUACAUCAGGUACACCCAGAUCCUUAUACCAAAUAAGUUCAACAGAUCUACUGAACCAAUCAGCAAUUGAAUAGCAGGACAGUUACUGAACCAAGUACUGAACUAAACUAAGUACUACCACCACUAGUACUGAAAUUUUAGUCUCCUAAAAGAUAAUAACAACGAUUCUGAUUUUUCUGAUCACUAAAAACUUCAACAGUACCUACUAAUCAAAGAAUGGAAAUACAAAAAUACACUUAUAGAAUUACAACAAGAUGAAUGAGAUAAAGAUACUCGAAGAAGUAAAUUCCACUAAAAGUCAAGAGUCAUGGGUGUGUGACUGUGCACACAGCUGGUUAGAAUUACAAAACAAAGUAAACACAACAGAAAAAUCAUAAAAACGAACACCCAAUUUUACACACCAUAGUAUCCACAUUUGUCAAAAUAAAAGAAAAAAAUUAUCGAAGAUGGUUCGAUCACAUGUAAUGACGCCCAAACGAUGAUAGCGUGAAGCUUAUCAGUAUCAGCUUUUCAUCAGCUUAUCAUUAAACGCUCAAUUCAAAUCAUCUUCUUGGGUUGCUAUAACUAUGUGAAUAACGACAUAGACACCCGGAAAAUUGUACCUAGACUAAACGGCAAUAGUAUACUACAAUACAUACCUAAGUAAGACUAAUAUAACUUAUAGAAUAACUUAUUAGAAAAAAAAAAAAAAAAAAAAAAAAAAAAAAA
RNAcentral lists this small RNA (2244 nucleotides) under Bombyx mori (domestic silkworm). RNAcentral describes it as "nuclear mRNA-like noncoding RNA". Lineage: Eukaryota; Metazoa; Arthropoda; Insecta; Lepidoptera; Bombycidae. The record is from RNAcentral.